Molecule: ribosomal RNA, 429 nt
Filed under: Bacteroidota bacterium
Lineage: Bacteria; Pseudomonadati; Bacteroidota
Description: Bacteroidetes bacterium partial 16S ribosomal RNA
Rfam family: Bacterial small subunit ribosomal RNA
Source: RNAcentral
UAGGGAAUCUUCGGCAAUGGGGGGAACCCUGACCGAGCAACGCCGCGUGAGUGAAGAAGGUUUUCGGAUCGUAAAGCUCUGUUGUUAAGGAAGAACGAGUGUGAGAAUGGAAAGUUCAUACUGUGACGGUACUUAACCAGAAAGGGACGGCUAACUACGUGCCAGCAGCCGCGGUAAUACGUAGGUCCCGAGCGAUGUCAGGAUUUAUUGGGCGUAAAGCGAGCGCAGGCGGUUAGAUAAGUCUGAAGUUAAAGGCAGUGGCUCAACCAUUGUAGGCUUUGGAAACUGUAUAUCUUGAGUGCAGAAGGGGAGAGUGGAAUUCCAUGUGUAGCGGUGAAAUGCGUAGAUAUGUGGAGGAACACCGGUGGCGAAAGCGGCUCUCUGGUCUAUAACUGACGCUGAGGUUCGAAAGCGUGGGGAGCGAACAGG